UCUCCGUUGGUGAACCAGCGGAGGGAUCAUUAUCGAGUUGACAACCCCCAAACCCUAUGUGAACUUACCACUUGUUGCUUCGGUGCGCGCUUCGGUGCCGCCGAGGACACUUAAACCCUUUGUUUUUAUAAGCAUUUCUGAGUGGCCGAAAGGCAAAAUACAAAUGAAUCAAAACUUUCAACAACGGAUCUCUUGGUUCUG
Molecule: unclassified non-coding RNA, 201 nt
Filed under: plant metagenome
Description: partial contains small subunit ribosomal RNA, internal transcribed spacer 1, and 5.8S ribosomal RNA
Source: RNAcentral